This 793-nucleotide ribosomal RNA is filed under the name Bacillus sp. Vi33. RNAcentral describes it as "bacterial SSU rRNA". It matches the Rfam family "Bacterial small subunit ribosomal RNA", at positions 28 to 812 of the family's 1533-position model. Lineage: Bacteria; Bacillati; Bacillota; Bacilli; Caryophanales; Bacillaceae. The record is from RNAcentral.
GUUCGACGCUGGCGGCGUGCCUAUACAUGCAGUCCAGCGGACUUUAAAAGCUUGCUUUUAAAGUUAGCGGCGGACGGGUGAGUAACACGUGGGCAACCUGCCUGUAAGACUGGGAUAACUUCGGGAAACCGGAGCUAAUACCGGAUAAUCCUUUUCCUCUCAUGAGGAAAAGCUGAAAGACGGUUUACGCUGUCACUUACAGAUGGGCCCGCGGCGCAUUAGCUAGUUGGUGAGGUAACGGCUCACCAAGGCGACGAUGCGUAGCCGACCUGAGAGGGUGAUCGGCCACACUGGGACUGAGACACGGCCCAGACUCCUACGGGAGGCAGCAGUAGGGAAUCUUCCGCAAUGGACGAAAGUCUGACGGAGCAACGCCGCGUGAGUGAUGAAGGUUUUCGGAUCGUAAAACUCUGUUGUUAGGGAAGAACAAGUACAAGAGUAACUGCUUGUACCUUGACGGUACCUAACCAGAAAGCCACGGCUAACUACGUGCCAGCAGCCGCGGUAAUACGUAGGUGGCAAGCGUUGUCCGGAAUUAUUGGGCGUAAAGCGCGCGCAGGCGGUCCUUUAAGUCUGAUGUGAAAGCCCACGGCUCAACCGUGGAGGGUCAUUGGAAACUGGGGGACUUGAGUGCAGGACGAGAAGAGUGGAAUUCCACGUGUAGCGGAUGAAAUGCGUAGAGAUGUGGAGGACACCAGUGGCGAGCGACUCUAUGGUCUGUACUGACGCUGAGGCGCGAAGCGUGGGGGAGCAACAGAUUAGAUACCCUGGCUAGUCCACGCCGUAACGAUGA